Panicum virgatum (switchgrass) is the source of this 1732-nucleotide long non-coding RNA. RefSeq lists it as uncharacterized. The transcript has 3 exons. Lineage: Eukaryota; Viridiplantae; Streptophyta; Magnoliopsida; Poales; Poaceae. The record is from RefSeq and is a predicted model, not a curated record.
UUAGAGAGCUAGUUGGCGCCAAGUCCAGUUCGUCAUCGAAACACGAGAGGAGGCGGAGGGAAGGAGGGGGUGGAUAGCACCGCUGGUUGUUCCUGUGUGUCCGUGUGAACAGAGGUGACUUGUGCUUGACUUGUGGCUUGGAUUCAUAGGGACAAGGCUAAACUAGAGCUGUUGCUGCUUGCGUUCCAUUAAUAUAUUUGGUUGUUCGAUCAUGAAGAAAUUGAUGCAAGAACCAGAUGCCAGAAUGCGAGGGUGAACUCACCGCAUCAAAUGCAGGGUGAACUCACUCAAGUGAAGUCACUCAACCAAGCAAGAUCCACCCAAUACAAGGCUAGAACUAGUACAGAAAACCAAACAUCAUGCAAAAGCACUGCUAUAGCCAGGCUUAGAUCGGCCUGGCUUAGAUCUUAGCCAGGCUAAGUCUAGACCAAGCAACCAAUCACUCCCUAUAGCUCUCUCUCCGGCCCUGCCCACGCCUCCGCCGCAGCUCUUCCUGCAGCACCAACCACAGCCGUGAGCUCCUGCCGCGGAGCGAAGUGACACGACGAAGACGCUCGGCGACGGUCUGCUGCUGCUGCUUACGAGGCAAGUGCUGGCUCGGCUCCAUGCCGAUCUGUAAUGCGAAGAUGGAGGCCGCCGGAAGCACGGGCAAAGGCUGCAUUUCGGAGCUCGAAAGCUGAAACGAAAUCUCCGAGAUCCAAAUUGGGUACGGCUCCACCGAUGAGUGGUUCCUCGCGGCGGGGUUGGAGGCGGAUGCAGAGAUGGCGGCAGCGGCUGGGGCGCGCCGCGGGAGGGGAGAGGUCUCGUUGGCCGCCCUAACGACAGAAGGCGCCGCCGCCCGCCGGGGUGGGAUGCGCCCAGGCGGCUGCAGCGAGCAGCUGUUCUGGGUCGCUACUGGCUUCCCCACUGAGAAAGAGACGCGAAGAAGAGGAAGAACAUCUCCUUCAUUAAGCGAAAUGCAGAGAUGAAACCGGAACAGGCAGCAAAAGAAAAGAAGAGACAUUGGAGCGCGCAAGCUGCUGGCCCAUGUCUUACGCGUAGAUCUGCUUGAGUUACCGCAAUGCUCUGGAAGAAUCAAGAAUGCGCAGGCAGAACGGCUCCGUACCUGCUCGACUCCUCUGGUUGUCGUGGACGAGCUCCUCCCCUCAAAGCCGCCAGCCAUUGCAGCCAGCGGGGGGGAAAGAUAGAUGUCCAGACCACCUCAAAGCCGCCAGCCAACGCAAAGGAGGGCAGCACACCCUGAGCGAUGUCCAGACCUCCUCUGAUCAACAGUGGGAGGGAGCAAAAGACGGCAUUGAAGCGACGGAAAGAGGACGCGCAGGGAAAGGAUGAAAGCGAGCUGGAGGUGGUAAAGACUAAAGAGAGGGUGCAGAGCUGAGAGCUGAGCUUGGGGAGGGGAGGACGACGGGAGGCGAGUUGCGCGGUUCAAGGCAAGGGAGCCGGAACGUGAAACGGCAGCGGUUUCAGGCUGGUGCGCGCUUAAAGCGGAGAAAGACGAGGCAGAGACGAUGCACACUUCAGACGCAGGGCAUCUCCCCGUGCCGGCCAGAACCAGAAGCAUUAUUGCAGAGGAUCUGUCGCGGUUGCGAACAGAGGCACGGAGCCCCGGAGAAGACCGGGCCGCGGCCGGCCUGUCCCGGAGCACCUGACAGUACUCGGCUGCCCUGAACAGGCUGUGUUUAGUUUCAAACUUCAAAAUUCCAAAAAUUUUAUAAAUCAUUUGCAUAGUGUA